Molecule: unclassified non-coding RNA, 112 nt
Organism: Aotus nancymaae (Ma's night monkey)
Lineage: Eukaryota; Metazoa; Chordata; Mammalia; Primates; Aotidae
Source: Ensembl
AGACUUGCAAGAAUCACAGUAACAGAGUGGAACACCUUCUUGACGUGUUAGGAACUUGAGUCAUAAUUUGUUGUUGACUCAGAACAAGUGUUUGGCGUUAUCUGCCACAGAG